Myxocyprinus asiaticus (Chinese sucker) is the source of this 269-nucleotide long non-coding RNA. RefSeq lists it as uncharacterized. The transcript has 3 exons. The record is from RefSeq and is a predicted model, not a curated record. Lineage: Eukaryota; Metazoa; Chordata; Actinopteri; Cypriniformes; Catostomidae.
CUACUAGUUGACUGGAACAGUGGCAGCAAACAGACGACACAAUGUGCAUUGCUCAUUUCAACAGAGGGCAGGCAGGAAAUUCAGAUACACCUUUUACCAGGUUCUGGAUCCCUCCUCCUGGAAAACAUGACGGACAAUCGCAAACACUCCUUCUUAUGCACCUGUUUUGCACAAUCUCAAGGCCUGUUUUGCUCAAAGAACAUAAGCUUUGUGGCUGGCUCUGCCAUUCCAGCACCAGUGAUCCUGAUGUCAAAUAAUCAAAGCUCAAC